Molecule: ribosomal RNA, 918 nt
Filed under: uncultured bacterium
Lineage: Bacteria
Description: bacterial SSU rRNA
Rfam family: Bacterial small subunit ribosomal RNA
Source: RNAcentral
AGAGUUUGAUCAUGGCUCAGAUUGAACGCUGGCGGCAUGCCUUACACAUGCAAGUCGAACGGCAGCAUGAUCUAGCUUGCUAGAUUGAUGGCGAGUGGCGAACGGGUGAGUAAUACAUCGGAACGUGCCCUGUAGUGGGGGAUAACUAGUCGAAAGAUUAGCUAAUACCGCAUACGACCUGAGGGUGAAAGUGGGGGACCGCAAGGCCUCAUGCUAUAGGAGCGGCCGAUGUCUGAUUAGCUAGUUGGUGAGGUAAAGGCUCACCAAGGCGACGAUCAGUAGCUGGUCUGAGAGGACGAUCAGCCACACUGGGACUGAGACACGGCCCAGACUCCUACGGGAGGCAGCAGUGGGGAAUUUUGGACAAUGGGCGAAAGCCUGAUCCAGCAAUGCCGCGUGUGUGAAGAAGGCCUUCGGGUUGUAAAGCACUUUUGUCCGGAAAGAAAUGGCUCUGGUUAAUACCUGGGGUCGAUGACGGUACCGGAAGAAUAAGGACCGGCUAACUACGUGCCAGCAGCCGCGGUAAUACGUAGGGUCCAAGCGUUAAUCGGAAUUACUGGGCGUAAAGCGUGCGCAGGCGGUUGUGCAAGACCGAUGUGAAAUCCCCGAGCUUAACUUGGGAAUUGCAUUGGUGACUGCACGGCUAGAGUGUGUCAGAGGGGGGUAGAAUUCCACGUGUAGCAGUGAAAUGCGUAGAGAUGUGGAGGAAUACCGAUGGCGAAGGCAGCCCCCUGGGAUAACACUGACGCUCAUGCACGAAAGCGUGGGGAGCAAACAGGAUUAGAUACCCUGGUAGUCCACGCCCUAAACGAUGUCAACUAGUUGUUGGGGAUUCAUUUCCUUAGUAACGUAGCUAACGCGUGAAGUUGACCGCCUGGGGAGUACGGUCGCAAGAUUAAAACUCAAAGGAAUUGACGG